UACGGGGGGGGCAAGCGUUGUUCGGAAUUACUGGGCGUAAAGGGCUCGUAGGCGGCCAACUAAGUCAUACGUGAAAUCCCUCGGCUUAACCGGGGAACUGCGUCUGAUACUGGAUGGCUUGAGAUUGGGAGAGGGAUGCGGAAUUCCAGGUGUAGCGGUGAAAUUCGUAGAUAUUAGGAAGAACACCAGUGGCGAAGGCGGCUCACUGGUCCGGUACUGACGCUGAGGUGCGAAAGCGUGGGGAGCAAACAGG
RNAcentral lists this ribosomal RNA (253 nucleotides) under uncultured bacterium. RNAcentral describes it as "partial 16S ribosomal RNA". It matches the Rfam family "Bacterial small subunit ribosomal RNA", at positions 524 to 776 of the family's 1533-position model. The record is from RNAcentral.